Molecule: non-coding RNA, 23 nt
Filed under: Arabidopsis thaliana (thale cress)
Lineage: Eukaryota; Viridiplantae; Streptophyta; Magnoliopsida; Brassicales; Brassicaceae
Source: RNAcentral
CACGUUUCUUAGGUAUACCUAGA